Long non-coding RNA from Octodon degus (degu), 102 nucleotides. RefSeq lists it as uncharacterized. The record is from RefSeq and is a predicted model, not a curated record. The transcript is spliced from 3 exons. Lineage: Eukaryota; Metazoa; Chordata; Mammalia; Rodentia; Octodontidae.
CCAUCGCUUUCCGAAGCUUUGCUCAGGCCUUAAGAGCAGACAGUCCUCCUCCAGCCGAGCCGCAUCUCCUACCUCCGUGACAUUCCACACGGCAGACUGGCC